Oxyura jamaicensis (ruddy duck) is the source of this 308-nucleotide long non-coding RNA. RefSeq lists it as uncharacterized. NCBI's taxonomy places the organism in Eukaryota, Metazoa, Chordata, Aves, Anseriformes, Anatidae. The transcript is spliced from 3 exons. The record is from RefSeq and is a predicted model, not a curated record.
CGGCCAUGUUGCUUGAUGAGCUAGCUGAGAAAUGCCUAGGAUACUGUGGUGCAGCUAUAAAAUCCUUCUGUUCUGAAGCUGCGCAGUGGAUUUUUAAGCGGCUUUUUGAAAAUUCAGUAGGGAAUAUUUUACAAGCCGUGCAGAAGAUAUUUCCGCAUGCAGAUGUUGCGCUAAAGAAGGCCCAACAGCAAGGUUUUCCAGCAAUGAAUUGCCGAGUAUUGUCAAAUAUCCAGCGUCCACUGGAGAGACAUCUAAAAGAAAGAAAUAUACGGCAGGUUGAGGAGGACAAAGCUAAACGUAAAAACUAA